Molecule: ribosomal RNA, 442 nt
Filed under: uncultured bacterium
Lineage: Bacteria
Description: partial 16S ribosomal RNA
Rfam family: Bacterial small subunit ribosomal RNA
Source: RNAcentral
CCUACGGGAGGCAGCAGUGGGGAAUAUUGGGCAAUGGGCGCAAGCCUGACCCAGCAACGCCGCGUGAAGGAAGAAGGCUUUCGGGUUGUAAACUUCUUUUAAGAGGGAAGAGCAGAAGACGGUACCUCUUGAAUAAGCCACGCCUAACUACGUGCCAGCAGCCGCGGUAAUACGUAGGUGGCAAGCGUUGUCCGGAUUUACUGGGUGUAAAGGGCGUGCAGCCGGGAAGACAAGUCAGAUGUGAAAGCCCGCGGCUUAACCGCGGAACUGCAUUUGAAACUGUUUUUCUUGAGUACCGGAGAGGUCAUCGGAAUUCCAUGUGUAGCGGUGAAAUGCGUAGAUAUAAGGAAGAACACCAGUGGCGAAGGCGGAUGACUGGACGGCAACUGACGGUGAGGCGCGAAAGCGUGGGGAGCAAACAGGAUUAGAUACCCCUGUAGUC